This 1019-nucleotide long non-coding RNA is filed under the name Notechis scutatus (mainland tiger snake). Its description in RNAcentral is "lncRNA (ENSNSUG00000005041.1)". Lineage: Eukaryota; Metazoa; Chordata; Lepidosauria; Squamata; Elapidae. The record is from RNAcentral.
CAAGGAAACCGCAUCCCGGUAGUCGGGACAGGACACUUCAAAGUGACUUUCAAAGGGCGCACAGCAAAGCUUCCACUAACGGUCGUGGACCGAGACCGCCCCAGCCUUUUGGGACUACAGUGGUUCGCGCCGCUCGGGAUCGAAGUGACGGGCAUCGACCACAUCGCAGAGGCAGACUGGGAAGAGCAACUCGCAAGGGACUUCCAGGAAGUGUUCGACGGCACCCUAGGCAAGUGCCGAGGGCCCCCUAUUUCCUUCAGCCUAGACCCCAGCGUUCCCCCGAUACGUUUAAAGCCACGGCGGGUACCCUUUGCACUCCGGCCCAAGAUCGACGAGCAGAUAGACAAGCUCAUCAAACAGGGGGUACUAGAGCCAACUGAUCACGCCCGGUGGGAGAAACCCAUAGUCACCCCAGUCAAGCCCGAUGGGUCGGUGAGAAUCUGUGGGGACUAUAAGGCCACCCUAAACUGCGCAUUACAACAAAGCGCCUACCCCGUCCCAGUAGUGCAGCACCUCCUACACUCACUGAGCUUCGCGAAGCUCGACCUGGCACAAGCGUACCAACAGUUACCGGUCGACGCAGAAACCGCCGAGGCGCAGACCAUAGUAACCCACCGGGGGGCUUUUCGUUGUAAGAGACUCCAGUUUGGAGUCAGCGUGUGUGGCUAUUCUGUCUCAGUAUUUUUCCAUAAGAGAAAUCCUGCUCAGCACGUAUACCUCUCAGAGCAAAGUUCACUAAACUGACAGGAAAAUAACUGACAGGAAGAAGCUAAGUUGAUAAGAACUUCACAAAAGCCUGUGAAAGGAUGUGUAUUCGAUAGCAGUCACGAUGUAUCAUCACAGAAGCUUGUGUCAGAUAAAAUACAGGAAAAAACAUGCUUAUCAAUAACAGCCAAGAAGUUCGUUACUUGUAUCAAGUAAGCCUGUUUUAAAAGAUAAAGUUUGUAACUUCUUUGUCUUUCUGUAAUCCCUCACCCCCCUCUUUGAUUCAGCACAAUAAAAGAGCACAGCGUAGAGCA